AAAACCACGAGUUUGAUCGUGGCUCAGGAUGAACGCUGGCGGCGUGCCUAACACAUGCAAGUCGUACGAGCUCGAUCUUCGGAACGGGUUAGUGGCGCACGGGUGAGUAACACGUAGGUGACCUACCCCAGAGUGGGGGAUAACUUCUCGAAAGAGAGGCUAAUACCGCAUACACUCGGUCAUUCAUUUGGCCGAGCAAAGCUCCGGCGCUUUGGGACGGGCCUGCGUCCGAUUAGCUAGUUGGUAGGGUAAUGGCUUACCAAGGCUUUGAUCGGUAGCUGGUCUGAGAGGACGAUCAGCCACACUGGCACUGACACACGGGCCAGACUCCUACGGGAGGCAGCAGUGAGGAAUAUUGGGCAAUGGGCGAAAGCCUGACCCAGCAACGCCGCGUGAGGGAUGAAGGCCUUCGGGUUGUAAACCUCUUUUCUGGGAGAAGAGACAAGGACGGGUAUCCCA
This 459-nucleotide ribosomal RNA is filed under the name uncultured bacterium. Its description in RNAcentral is "bacterial SSU rRNA". It matches the Rfam family "Bacterial small subunit ribosomal RNA", at positions 1 to 482 of the family's 1533-position model. The record is from RNAcentral.